This 468-nucleotide ribosomal RNA is filed under the name uncultured bacterium. Its description in RNAcentral is "partial 16S ribosomal RNA". It matches the Rfam family "Bacterial small subunit ribosomal RNA", at positions 28 to 507 of the family's 1533-position model. The record is from RNAcentral.
GACGAACGCUGGCGGCGUGCUUAACACAUGCAAGUCGAACGGACAGACCCUGCUCUUGCGGGGUGCUCGAUAGCCGAACACGUGUGUAACACGCGAGUAACCUGUCCUUGACAUUGGGAUAACUCCAGGGAACUCGGGCGCUUACACGAUAGGAGCUCUUGCUGCACGGUGGGGGUUGGAGAGAUUCGGCGGUUGUGGAUGGACUAGCUGCUUAUCAGCCUCUUGGUGGGGUAGUGGCGUACCAAGGGUUUGACGGGUAGCCGGCCUUGGAGGGUGACCGGCGUCAAUGGGCCUGAGGUACGGCCCAGACGCCUACGGUAGGCAGCAGUGGAGAGUAUUGCGCAGUGGGCGGAAGCCUGAGGCAGAAGCGCCGCGUGCGGGAUGACGGCUUUCGGGUUAUAAACCGCUGUCGCCUGUGACGAAGCGUUAGUGACGGUAAUGAGUAAAGAAGCACCGGCUAACUACGUG